Long non-coding RNA from Homalodisca vitripennis (glassy-winged sharpshooter), 798 nucleotides. RefSeq lists it as uncharacterized. NCBI's taxonomy places the organism in Eukaryota, Metazoa, Arthropoda, Insecta, Hemiptera, Cicadellidae. The record is from RefSeq and is a predicted model, not a curated record. The transcript has 2 exons.
AAUAAAAUUCAACGCUUUCCAAACUGCGUGUUACGAUUUUCGAUUAUCAACAAAUUAGGCAAUCAAUGACUGCGCGAAGAAUUUCGCCUUCAUAAAUUAAUUCAUGUAUCCACGAAAACAAAGUUUAAUUGAGCAAUUUAAAUGAUGAAGGAACGAUUUGGAAUUCCACGAUAUAACACGAUAGCAUCAAUAGCCGAGUUUUAACGUCAAGAUAGGGAGCGAUCAUUUAUAUAACGACCGGAGGCUGAUUUAUCGGCGUUUAUCUUAUCAAUUGAUGCAAGAUUCCUGGAAAUGACAAAACUCGACUGCGCUGAAAAGUAUUUAAGAUCGUAUUCAGAGAAAGUCGAUAGCGCCGAAGAGCCACGCGCCGGCGCUGCUGACCACUGAUAACAGAGCCCAUUCAUUGUUAUCAAUAGUAGCCUAUGAUCUUGACUGCGCUGCGGGAGGACGUGGAGGAUUCCCAGAAGUGAUAACAACUUGCGCAAUAAACCAGGCUCAAGUUCAAGGCUCUCCCGACCUGUCACCUUGUGAUUUUUUCUAUGGGGUUUUUUGAAAUCCCGUGUUUAUGUGAACCGUCCAGGAACCCUACAAGAUUUGAAGACCAACAUCCGAGAAGAAAUUGUCAACAUAACACCUGCUACGCUAACAACAGUCAUGACAAACGCCAGAAAUCGGCUUACGCAAUGUAUGGAGAAUGGGAGACGUCACCUAACAGAUUUGAUCUUCAAAACAAUCUAAAUAAAAACUUUAGACAUGUACCUACAUUAUAAAAAAUAAAUAAAUAUUUUCUGAUGCAUA